CUUGAAGCUGGACUUCGGAAAGCAUUCGACUCUGUUAGUUGGGACUGCCUUAUACAGGUUUUACAUGCAAGGGGCUUCCCUUCGCGGUGGACGCAGUGGAUCCAUACGCUCCUCUCUACCGGACGCUCCAGGGUGCUCAUCGACGGUGAACCGGGCAAUCCCAUCUUGGCAAAGAGAGGUUUUCGGCAGGGGGAUUCCUUGUCGCCG
This 207-nucleotide ribosomal RNA is filed under the name Triticum aestivum (bread wheat). RNAcentral describes it as "partial small subunit ribosomal RNA". The record is from RNAcentral. Lineage: Eukaryota; Viridiplantae; Streptophyta; Magnoliopsida; Poales; Poaceae.